Molecule: ribosomal RNA, 497 nt
Filed under: uncultured bacterium
Lineage: Bacteria
Description: partial 16S ribosomal RNA
Rfam family: Bacterial small subunit ribosomal RNA
Source: RNAcentral
GAUGAACGCUGGCGGCGUGCCUAAUACAUGCAAGUCGAGCGAACAGACGAGGAGCUUGCUCCUCUGACGUUAGCGGUGGACGGGUGAGUAACACGUGGAUAACCUACCUAUAAGACUGGGAUAACUUCGGGAAACCGGAGCUAAUACCGGAUAACAUGUUGAACCGCAUGGUUCAACAGUGAAAGACGGUCUUGCUGUCACUUAUAGAUGGAUCCGCGCCGCAUUAGCUAGUUGGUAAGGUAACGGCUUACCAAGGCAACGAUGCGUAGCCAACCUGAGAGGGUGAUCGGCCACACUGGAACUGAGACACGGUCCAGACUCCUACGGGAGGCAGCAGUAGGGAAUCUUCCGCAAUGGGCGAAAGCCUGACGGAGCAACGCCGCGUGAGUGAAGAAGGUCUUCGGAUCGUAAAACUCUGUUAUUAGGGAAGAACAAAUGUGUAAGUAACUAUGCACGUCUUGACGGUACCUAAUCAGAAAGCCACGGCUAACUACGUG